This 383-nucleotide ribosomal RNA is filed under the name uncultured bacterium. Its description in RNAcentral is "bacterial SSU rRNA". It matches the Rfam family "Bacterial small subunit ribosomal RNA", at positions 355 to 755 of the family's 1533-position model. The record is from RNAcentral.
UGGGGAAUAUUGCACAAUGGGCGCAAGCCUGAUGCAGCAAUGCCGCGUGAGUGAAGACGGCCUUAGGGUUGUAAAACUCUUUCGCUAGGGAAGAUAAUGACGGUACCUAGUAAAGAAGUCCCGGCUAACUCCGUGCCAGCAGCCGCGGUAAUACGGAGGGGACUAGCGUUGUUCGGAAUUACUGGGCGUAAAGAGUUCGUAGGCGGACUAGCAAGUUAGAGGUGAAAUCCCAGGGCUCAACCUUGGAACUGCCUUUAAAACUGCUAGUCUAGAGACCGGAAGAGGUUAGGGGAAUACCUAGUGUAGAGGUGAAAUUCGUAGAUAUUUGGAGGAACACCAGUGGCGAAGGCGGCUCACUGGCUCGAUACUGACGCUGAGGUGCG